UGGGGAAUUUUGCGCAAUGGGCUAACGCCUGACGCAGCAACGCCGCGUGGAGGAUGAAGGUCUUUGGAUUGUAAACUCCUGUCAGCAGGGAAAAAGCGACUCAGCCUAAUACGCUGGGGAGUUGAUUGUACCUGCAGAGGAAGCCCCGGCUAACUCUGUGCCAGCAGCCGCGGUAAUACGGAGGGUGCGAGCGUUGUCCGGAAUCACUGGGCGUAAAGGGCGCGUAGGCGGCCGAGCAAGGUCGCGGUGAAAGCCCGGGGCUCAACCCCGGGUCGGCCGUGGCAACUACUUGGCUGGAGCACUGUAGGGGCGGGUGGAAUUCCGGGUGUAGCGGUGGAAUGCGUAGAGAUCCGGAAGAACACCGGUGGCGAAGGCGGCCCGCUGGGCAGGAAGGCUCGCAAGAGCCGGCUGACGCUGAGGCGCGACAGCGUGGGGAGCAAA
RNAcentral lists this ribosomal RNA (441 nucleotides) under uncultured bacterium. RNAcentral describes it as "bacterial SSU rRNA". It matches the Rfam family "Bacterial small subunit ribosomal RNA", at positions 355 to 772 of the family's 1533-position model. The record is from RNAcentral.